Molecule: ribosomal RNA, 859 nt
Filed under: Isochrysis galbana
Lineage: Eukaryota; Haptophyta; Isochrysidales; Isochrysidaceae
Description: partial Bacterial large subunit ribosomal RNA
Rfam family: Bacterial large subunit ribosomal RNA
Source: RNAcentral
AUUUAAAGAGUGCGUAACAGCUCACUAGUCGAGCGGUUCUGCAUGGAUAAUAAUCGGGCAUAAGUAUAUUACCGAAGCUAUGGACUUUUAAAGUGGUAGGGGAGCAUUGUAGUUGUGUAGAAGGUGAACUGUAAGGUUUGCUGGAACGGCUACAAAAGAAAAUGUAGGCAUAAGUAACGAUAAAGGGGGCGAGAAACCCCCUCACCGAAAGACUAAGGUUUCCUCAGCGAUGCUAAUCAGCUGAGGGUUAGUCGGGACCUAAGGCGAACCCGAAAGGGGUAGUCGAUGGACAACAGGUUAAUAUUCCUGUACUUCUUAUAAUUGCGAUGGGGUGACGGAGUAAUGAAAGCACCGCGGACUGACGGAAUAGUUCGUUAAAGCAUGUAGCUAUAGAACCAGAUUAAGAGUUAGGUUUUGGCAAAGUGUGAUAGUACCACAAAACUUCGGUAGCGUGGAUAGUGUGCCUAAAGGCUUCCAAGAAAAACCUCUAAGCUUCAGGUUAUGAGCGAUCGUACCCCAAACCGACACAGGUGGUCGGGUAGAGAAUACCAAGGCGCUUGAGAGAACUCGGGUGAAGGAACUAGGCAAAAUGGCACCGUAACUUCGGGAGAAGGUGCGCCGGCUAGGGUGAAGGACUUGCUCCGUAAGCUCUGGCUGGUCGAAGAUACCAGGUGGCUGCGACUGUUUAUUAAAAACACAGUACUCUGCAAACUCGAAAGAGGAAGUAUAGGGUAUGACGCCUGCCCGGUGCCGGAAGGUUAAUUGAUGGGGUUAGCGUAUGCGAAGCUCUUGAUCGAAGCCCCGGUAAACGGCGGCCGUAACGAUAACGGUCCUAAGGUAGCGAAAUUCCUUGUCGGGU